UAGGGAAUCUUCCGCAAUGGACGCAAGUCUGACGGAGCAACGCCGCGUGAGUGAAGAAGGAUUUCGGUUCGUAAAACUCUGUUGUUAGAGAAGAACAGCGCAUAGAGUAACUGUUAUGCGUGUGACGGUAUCUAACCAGAAAGCCACGGCUAACUACGUGCCAGCAGCCGCGGUAAUACGUAGGUGGCAAGCGUUGUCCGGAUUUAUUGGGCGUAAAGCGAGCGCAGGCGGUCAAUUAAGUCUGAUGUGAAAGCCCCCGUCUCAACCGGGGAGAGGAAUUGGAAAGUUGUUGACUUCAGUGAAGCAGAUGAGAGUGCAAUUCCAUGUGUAGCGGUGAAAUGCGUCGAUCUAUGGAGGAACACCAGUGGCUAAGGCGACUCUCUGGUCUGUAACUGACGCUGAGGCUCGAAAGCGUGGGUAGCAAACAGG
This 429-nucleotide ribosomal RNA is filed under the name Bacteroidota bacterium. RNAcentral describes it as "Bacteroidetes bacterium partial 16S ribosomal RNA". It matches the Rfam family "Bacterial small subunit ribosomal RNA", at positions 355 to 776 of the family's 1533-position model. Lineage: Bacteria; Pseudomonadati; Bacteroidota. The record is from RNAcentral.